CAGCAGUGAGGAAGGUGGAGUCGUUAAUAGCGACCUCAUUUGACGUUAGCUGCAGAAGAAGCACCGGCUAACUCCGUGCCAGCAGCCGCGGUAAUACGGAGGGUGCGAGCGUUAAUCGGAAUUACUGGGCGUAAAGCGCAUGCAGGUGGUUUGUUAAGUCAGAUGUGAAAGACCCGGGGCGUCAACCUCGGAAUUGCAUUUGUAAACUAGGCAAACUAGAGUACUGUAGAGGGGGGUAGGAAUUUCAGGUGUAGCGGUGAAAUAGCGUAGAGAUCUGAAGGAAUACCGGUGGCGAAGGCGGCCCCCUCGGACAGAUACUGACACUCAGAUGCGAAAGCGUGGGGAGCAAACAGGAUUAGAUACCCUGGUAG
This 371-nucleotide ribosomal RNA is filed under the name uncultured bacterium. RNAcentral describes it as "bacterial SSU rRNA". It matches the Rfam family "Bacterial small subunit ribosomal RNA", at positions 434 to 793 of the family's 1533-position model. The record is from RNAcentral.